GCGAACGGGUGAGUAACACGUGAGUAACCUGCCCCAGACUCUGGGAUAACCCCGGGAAACCGGAGCUAAUACCGGAUAUGACCCUCGUACGCAUGUGCAGGGGGUGGAAAGUUUUUCGGUCUGGGAUGGGCUCGCGGCCUAUCAGCUUGUUGGUGAGGUAGUGGCUCACCAAGGCGACGACGGGUAGCCGGCCUGAGAGGGCGACCGGCCACACUGGGACUGAGACACGGCCCAGACUCCUACGGGAGGCAGCAGUGGGGAAUAUUGCACAAUGGGCGGAAGCCUGAUGCAGCGACGCCACGUGAGGGAUGACGGCCUUCGGGUUGUAAACCUCUUUCAGCAGGGAAGAAGCGAAAGUGACGGUACCUGCAGAAGAAGCACCGGCUAACUACGUGCCAGCAGCCGCGGUAAUACGUAGGGUGCGAGCGUUGUCCGGAAUUAUUGGGCGUAAAGAGCUUGUAGGCGGUUUGUCGCGUCUGCUGUGAAAAUCCGGGGCUCAACCCCGGACUUGCAGUGGGUACGGGCAGACUAGAGUGUGGUAGGGGAGACUGGAAUUCCUGGUGUAGCGGUGGAAUGCGCAGAUAUCAGGAGGAACACCGAUGGCGAAGGCAGGUCUCUGGGCCACUACUGACGCUGAGAAGCGAAAGCAUGGGGAGCGAACAGGAUUAGAUACCCUGGUAG
RNAcentral lists this ribosomal RNA (681 nucleotides) under uncultured earthworm intestine bacterium. Its description in RNAcentral is "bacterial SSU rRNA". It matches the Rfam family "Bacterial small subunit ribosomal RNA", at positions 98 to 793 of the family's 1533-position model. The record is from RNAcentral.